Molecule: small nuclear RNA, 139 nt
Organism: Rattus norvegicus (Norway rat)
Lineage: Eukaryota; Metazoa; Chordata; Mammalia; Rodentia; Muridae
Product: U4 spliceosomal RNA
Source: Ensembl
AGCUUUGAGCAAUGGCAGUAUCAUACAUAGCCCAUGAGGUUUAUCUGAGGCGUGAUUACUGCUAAUUGAAAUUGAAUCUUGAAAGCAUGUUUAUAUCAUUAAUAUUUUUCAGUGUUAUUUUAGAAGCCAGGCAUAAACA